CUACGGGGCGCUCCAGUGAGGAAUAUUGCACAAUGGGGGGAACCCUGAUGCAGCAACGCCGCGUGGAGGAUGACGCAUUUCGGUGUGUAAACUCCUUUUAUAUGUCAAGAAAAUGACGGUAGCAUAUGAAUAAGCACCGGCUAACUCCGUGCCAGCAGCCGCGGUAAUACGGAGGGUGCAGGCGUUACUCGGAAUCACUGGGCGUAAAGGACGCGUAGGCGGGUUGGAAAGUCAGGUGUGAAAUCCUACAGCUUAACUGUAGAACUGCACUUGAAACUUCUAAUCUAGAGUAUGGGAGGGGGAGAUGGAAUUAGUGGUGUAGGGGUAAAAUCCGUAGAUAUCACUAGGAAUACCUAAAGCGAAGGCGAUCUCCUGGAACAUUACUGACGCUAAGGCGUGAGAGCGUGGGGAGCAAACAGGAUUAGAUACCCGCGUAGUC
This 439-nucleotide ribosomal RNA is filed under the name uncultured bacterium. RNAcentral describes it as "partial 16S ribosomal RNA". It matches the Rfam family "Bacterial small subunit ribosomal RNA", at positions 339 to 795 of the family's 1533-position model. The record is from RNAcentral.